UUAAAUUUAUUUUUUUAAAUUUAUUUUUGCCAAGCUUUAAAAAUUUAGGGAUAAAAUAUGUUGUUCAAUUAUGGGUUUAUUUUUUAUACAUACACUUUAUAAAAUUAAGAAAUUUCUCUUUCCAUAGACCUGUUAAAAGGUCUUAUCAAGAAGAUUUCUCAGAGUUCCAUCGUGGCGCAGUGGUUAACGAAUCCGACUAGGAACCAUGAGGUUGCGGGUUCGGUCCCUGCCCUUGCUCAGUGGGUUAACGAUCCGGCGUUGCCGUGAGCUGUGGUGUAGGUUGCAGACGCGGCUCGGAUCCCGCAUUGCUGUGGCUCUGGCGUAGGCCGGUGGCUACAGCUCCGAUUUGACCCCUAGCCUGGGAACCUCCAUAUGCCGCGGGAGCGGCCCAAGAAAUGGCAAAAAGACAAAAAAAAAAAAAAAAAAAGAAUAUUUCUGCCUCUGAGAUAAUGGUAUGAUUUUCUUCCCUGAUGUUGAUAAUAUAGAAAAAUAUUUUGUAUUUUCAGUGUUAACCUUGCAUUUUCUAUUACCCGUAGAUUGAUGUAGAAUGACCUCAGAGUGGACAGUUGAGUCUGCCUCCAUCUAUUUUCUUCUCCUCCACGUGGCUAGCACAGACUUGAUAUUUGGUGGUGGCAAAGUUCUCAAAGAAAGAGCAAACACAUACGUGGAUUCCUAAGGUCUUGUCUGUUGGCAGGUCACUUCUGCCAGCACCAACCACAGAUGAGAAAAUAUAAAAACAACAAGAAAAGAAUGUCUUUAAGUCACAGUUCUUUAUUAAGAGCUUGGAAUCAGAAUGGACACUAUUCUAUUUAUAUUUUGCUGGCCAAAAUCAAUCUUAUGGAUCUCACGCUUUCAAGGAGGGCAAAUAAACUCUCGAUGUGAGGAACUAAAGUCACAGUUCAACAGACGUGGGUAUAAAUAGGUAAGGAAAUUGGGGCCAGAUUUCUACCCAUUUCAUCCCAAAUCGUGUUGUCUUCAGGAAAUUUAAUGCUAGGCCUCUGGAAGGAUGAGCCUAAUAUACAUACUAAGUAAAAGAAUGACUUCUGAAGUAGAAAAAGGUAGUGAUCUCUGGUGUCAAACUGCCUUGAUUCCAGUCCUGGUUCACCACUUACUAGCUGAGCAUAUUUGAAAGUUAUUUAUCCUCUUUUGCCUGGUUUGCUCCAUCCUUUAAAUGUAGCUAAUUUUAGCAUAUAUCACAGAAUUCUUUUCUUAGUUCAAACACAUAAAACAGUUACAAUGAUGCUGGGCACAUAAAAAUCGCCUGGUAUUUUUUGGUAAUUAUUUUGGGGUGAGAAACAGGAUCGCCAAUGUUAGAUCACUGGCAAUUUGAUUAAUUUCAGAGACCACUUAGAAUUCAUAGUGCUUAUACAGCUCUUAAUGUACUAUCUCAAAUAAUGUUAUCUGGACCCACUUCCCCCUCUAUGUGUAUAGUGUCCUUUGAGAACCUCAGUCAGCCUCAUGGAUUUACACUUGCUUAUGCCAGUGGCUACAGUCUUGUGAAUCAGUUACCCCUGACAUCUGCACCGUUGUGUCUAACAAUCGUAAUAAAUCCCCAUUGUGCAUGAAAACAUGUGCAUCUCCCAUCUGUGUGUCCCCCUCACCCCGUGUCUCCCUCCCCUUGAACGCUAUGCUUCGCAGUUCCUCCUCUAUGAACCCCAGCUUCGCUGAGCUUCUCCUAAUUGUUGUUGACAGUUUCUGCUAUUCUACUCUUUGCUCAGUGUUGUCUCUUCAGAAGGACCUUUCUUGACUGCCCACCUAAGGUAACCUCACCUCAUUCCAUGCUUCUUUUUACCGUAUCAUCCUGUGGUUCUCUGUGGCUUUUAUUCCAUUUGAAGUUUACUUUAUCUAUUUGCUUGCUUGUUAUGUACCUACCCCCAAUAUUUUGAAGGCACUUUGUUUUCACAGCUGUACUCUCAGAAUGUUGAUAGUGCUUAGAACAAAGGAGCCUUACAAAUGAUCCUUGAGCUGGGUCUAUUAAAAAGCAAUAUCAGAUCAUUUGAACCUUGACUCUAAAAUGUCUCCAAAGUGUAGGAUCUACCUAUGGUUAAGAAGAAUAUCUAUGAUAUGUAUUUGGAAAAUAAAUAUUCCAAUGAUUUGAUCUGUGUACCAGUUUUUAUUCAGCAGUUAUUUAAACAUGCCGUCAUAAUUAGAACAAUACCACGUCAUGUUUGAAGUCUAAUUGGCAUAACACUACCGAUAUAAAUAUUGUUUUGCCACUGUGAAAGAAAUAGAAAAUCCUGUAUGUUUUUUUUGGCUGUGCCUGCAGAAUAUGGAAGUUCCCAGGCAAGGGAUCAAACCCAAGCCACAGCAGCAGCCCCAGCCGCUACAGUGCCAAUGCCAGAUCCUUAACCCACUAUGGCACAGGGGAACUCCUAAUAUAUUUAUUUAUGUGUUUGAUAUUGUAUUUCUUUGAAUAUCAAGUCUUUAAAGGCCAUAGGUAAUUGAUCAAAAAAUAUCCAAAUAACUAGUUAAUUUUAAGUGGUUUCAGUGGAUGUACUUGUAGUUAUGAUGAAACAACACAGAAGCAUAUUUAAUUUCCCAGUGUUCUGACAAAUUAGUGGUAAUCUGCAUGAAAAUAAAUAUAUUUCUUUCAAAAAUCACCUAAUAAAUAGUUUCUUCAAGUGUUUUAACAAAUUAUAACAAAACCAAUCUUUUCUAAUUAAUUAAUAUUGAGGGAAAUACAACAGUAUUGUGUAGUAGAAAACGAAAAUUUGAUCUUCUGAAUUGAGUCCAUUAUUUCUUCAUGAUACAUUUUUGCUGGCUUAUUUUAUUUAUUCAUUUAGAAAUAAGCUGUGUACUACAUGAUAUUAGUUUCAAGUACACUACAUAGUGAUUUGACAUUGGUAUUAUACAUUACGAAAUGCUCACCACCAGAGGUCUAGUAACUGUCCCCAUACAAUGUUGUUACAGUAUUAUUGAAAAUAUCCCUUAUACUGUACAUUACAUCUCCAUGGCUAAUUUAUUUUGUAACUACAAAUUUAUAUCUCUUAAUCCUAGUCCCCUUCCCUAUUUGGCUCUCCCACCCCACUUCCUUUGGCAAACACUUAUUCGUUCUCCGCAUCUAAAUCUGUUUUCAUUUGGGGUAUUUUUGUUUGUUUUUGUAGUUCUUUUUUUUUUUUUUUUUUGUUCCUUUCUUCUUCUUUCUCUCUUCCUUGUGCUUCAGUGACUACCUUUAUGUAACAUUUGGAUUUCUUGCUCUUUUUUGUGUGUGUAUCUAUUACGGGUUUUUGAUUUGUCAUGAGGUUCAUAUAUAAUAACCUCUAUAGAGUAUACAUGUGAUUAUUUCAAGUUGAUGAUCUCUUAAAUUCACACACAUUUCAACAACUCUAUAUUUUUACUUCCCCUACCAUAUUUAAUGUCUUUGACAAAAUUUACAUGUUUUUAUUUGUGUAUCUCUUAAGUACUUAUUGUAGAUAUAGGUACUUUCGCUAGCUUUUUUUUUUUUUUAAACUUCCUUCUAGCUUUAUAAGUAAUUGGCCUGUACUGUAUGUCUGACCCUACCAAUGAGAUUUUCCUUUCAUGAUUUUUAUAUUUCUGGUUGUGUCCUUUUCUUUCUGCUUAGAGAAGUGAUUUUAAUAUUUCUUGUAAAGCCAGCUUGGUGGUGCUGAACUCUUAGCUUUUGUUGUCUGUGAAACUCUUUUAUCUCUUUUUCAAAUCUGAGCUGUGUUUAAAGGAUAGAACAAACUAGGCUAAGGAGGAGAAAUAAUGGCUGUCACCAGCUUCUCCAUCCCUGGGCGGUGGCAGGGGGGUCUCUUAUUUCUGCUGCCUCUCAAGGAGGCUCUCCAAGAUCCAAGUGAGUUUGACUCAGGCUCCUUUCAGACCACUGCCUCUAUGCUGGUACUUGGAUCCUGUGAGCUUUAGCAUGUGCCCUUUAAGAGUGGAGUCUGUUUCCUAUAUUCUCUGGUACUGUUUCCUAUAGCUCUCUGGUACUCCUCAGUAUAAGCCCCAGUGAUUUUCAAAGCUGGAUGUUCUGGGGGCUUGUCUUCCCUGUUAAGGAAUCCUGGGCUGGGUAGCUGAUGAUGUGAGGCUUAGACCCUGCACUCUUUGGGGAAAAUCUGUGCAUCUGAAACAUGAUUGUCUUUCCAUUUGUGGGUUCCUACCAAAGGAUAUGGGUCCUGACUAUUUUGUUUCUCUGCCCUUCCUGCCCAUUUUGUGGUUGCUUUGUGUAUGUAGUUGUAGAAAACCUUUCCUACUAGUCUUCAGGUCAUUCUCAUAGAUACUUCUCUAUGAGUAGUUGUAAUUUUGGUGUGCUCAUAGGAGGAGGUGAACUCAGGGUCUUCCUAUUCCAUCAUCUUAGCCACUUCCCUGAACUUAUGUUUUUAAAAGAAUGCCUUACUAAAGCCUUCAAAUUUUGAUUGGUUUUAAUUAUAUUUAAACUUAGUUACUAAGUAUGAAAUGCAAAAGGAUAUAUUCAGAUAUUUGAAUUAGAAUAUGUGAUGAAAAUUAAUUUAUAUUUCCAUCUAUGCCAAUCAAAAUCAAUAUGGUUCAAUUAAAAUUUCUUGACAUCUUGUUUACAUCUAAUUUUUGGUUUAUGAAAAUGAUGUGCUAUUUCAUCAUGCUGAAAUAAUAUAUAUAAUGUAUACAAAAAUAUUGAAUUCCAUAAUUAACUGGAAAAUUAUAUUUUGUAAGCUUCCAAAUAGAAGAUAACUAGCUUCUUUUUGAAAUAUAUGUGCCAGCCUUUUGCUUUUCUAAUUAUUAGCAUAAUUAUUUUUGUACAUUUGGCUAGAAUCACAAAUCCUGUCUUAGACUGCCAUUUUAGAAGUGUUUAUUCAUAUGUUUUGAGUAAAUGGGUAAUGAAAUUGAUGGAUGCUUUAAAACAUUUAUGACUCAUUAACAGAAACAAUCAUGAGGCUUAACAAGUAAUUUUAUGAAUAUUUUAUUCAGAAUAAAUUAACAUUAAUUAUUGAAAAAGAUCCUCUAAUAUAUUGAAAUGGAAAAUAUUUUCUAAAUUUCAUUUAGUGAAUUUUAAAAACAGAUUUAAAAAAAGGAGUUCCUGUGUGGCUCAGCGGUAAUGAAUCAGGGUACUAUCCAUGAGGAUGCAAGAUCCAUCCCUGGCUUUGCUCAGUGGGUUAAGGAUCCAGCAUUGCUUUGAGCUGCAGUGCAGGUUGCAGUUGAGGCUUGAAUCUGGUGUUGCAGUGGUUGUGGUGUAGGCCAGCAGCUGUAGCCCCGAUUUGACUCCUAGCCUGGGAACUUCCAUAUGCUGCAGAUGAAGCC
Molecule: long non-coding RNA, 5214 nt
Filed under: Sus scrofa (pig)
Lineage: Eukaryota; Metazoa; Chordata; Mammalia; Artiodactyla; Suidae
Description: lncRNA (ENSSSCG00000057087.1)
Source: RNAcentral